GACGAACGCUGGCGGCGUGCCUAAUACAUGCAAGUUGAGCGCUGAAGGUUGGUACUUGUACCAACUGGAUGAGCAGCGAACGGGUGAGUAACGCGUGGGGAAUCUGCCUUUGAGCGGGGGACAACAUUUGGAAACGAAUGCUAAUACCGCAUAAAAACUUUAAACACAAGUUUUAAGUUUGAAAGAUGCAAUUGCAUCACUCAAAGAUGAUCCCGCGUUGUAUUAGCUAGUUGGUGAGGUAAAGGCUCACCAAGGCGAUGAUACAUAGCCGACCUGAGAGGGUGAUCGGCCACAUUGGGACUGAGACACGGCCCAAACUCCUACGGGAGGCAGCAGGAGGGAAUCUUCGGCAAUAGACGAAAGUCUGACCGAGCAACGCUGCGUGAGUGAAGAAGGUUUUCGGAUCGGAAAACUCUGUUGGUAGAGAAGAACGUUGGUGAGAGUGGAAAGCUCAUCAAGUGACGGUAACUACCCAGAAAGGGACGGCUAACUACGUG
RNAcentral lists this ribosomal RNA (497 nucleotides) under uncultured bacterium. Its description in RNAcentral is "partial 16S ribosomal RNA". It matches the Rfam family "Bacterial small subunit ribosomal RNA", at positions 28 to 507 of the family's 1533-position model. The record is from RNAcentral.